GCUGAGAUACCAUUUGGUAUGUACUGACUGAGUAUUUAUGCGUUUUUAACUGAAAUCACAGCAGCGUCCAUCUAUGAAGGAUGUAGGCUGUCAAACAUACACGACUGUUAGCCAAUCAUAGCAGUCGGCGUUUACUUCCGAGUCUACAAUCCUCCACGUCGAUUCAAACAGAGCGUUCCGAUGAGGGGGUCAAAACAAGACAGAAAAUAGCCUACAAAGUAAUAUAAAAGGCAGUUCAUGACCCCUUUAAGAGUGUGACUAUUUCUGGGGUUAUCUGGACUUCUUGUACUCACAUUUCUAUAGUUUCCUAACCCAAUGCAUGUGUUGAUUCUCAGCCCUACCUACAACUCCUGAGAUUUCCACACCAUCCAAGGCUCCUAAAGAGAAUGGAGACACAACAACUACAAGUACACCAGCUCCAUGGGUUGUUGCACUGAUUGUGAUUGUUGUGAUUGUUUUGAUUGGUCUGGGUAAGUAAUUCUGCAUAUUUCACCUGAUAAUCUACAUGUCCUAUACCUUCUUAUUCAAUACAGUCACCAAAUCUUUUGUUAAGUUGUAGCAGUGUUAU
Molecule: long non-coding RNA, 568 nt
Filed under: Sinocyclocheilus anshuiensis
Lineage: Eukaryota; Metazoa; Chordata; Actinopteri; Cypriniformes; Cyprinidae
Description: lncRNA (ENSSANG00000000815.1)
Source: RNAcentral